ACAAAACGAUGGAUAUAAAAUUUGUAAAAAAAGGAAUCAUAUUUUGAACCUAAAAGGAUUUUAUUUUUAUAUUUAUUUUGUUUUUAUAUAUUUGUCCUGUGUUUACAUUAUACAUUAUUAACAUUUUAUUACAUUAAUGAUGAGAUUUUUUUUAGUUUUAGUAGAGUAUUUAUUUUUAUCUUUAUUUUUAUCUAUAAAUAUAAUAGUUAUGCAUUAUUUUUCCAAUUAACGUAUUUAUAUAGACUUCGUUCGUUCUGAUAUUCAUUUGCGGAAAUUAGAAACGUUAAACGAUGUUCAAAAUAGAACCACUUCAAGUGAGAAUAAUUUCCAAAACUGACUUGUCAAUAUAGAAGAUUCAAAUUUCCAUAAAUCAAAUUAAUUCUAGAAAUAACCAACUAUUUCUAUUUCUCGUUUUUAAUUUGCCGUGUAUAAAUAUUGCAUAUUCAAAGAUUGAAAUAGAUAUAUAAAAACAAUAAUUUUUAAUAUUAUUAAUAUUCAGGAUAAAUUACGUCAUUUAUAAAAUAAAAUAUCUUUCUUUUUUAUUUCUAUUUCUUCUUAAAAUAAAUGUAUUUAAAUAUUGAAAAACAUCAUUAAAUGAUAGAAUAGCCUUACAUCUAGAUUUAAUUAAUGAUACAAUGAAAAUAAACUCAAUUAAUAUAAUGACAAAUAUUUGAUAUACAAAAACAUCAAUGAUAUAUAUACACAUAUAUACACAAAUACAAUAAAAGAUUCAGCGUCGUAGGUAGUUUGAUUAAAAUGUUCUCGCAACUUUCCGUUUUUGUCCCACGUCUCGUUUGCACAAUUAUCUUAUAGUAAAUAAGUAGUAAAGCUACAAAAGUGCAAUCCGCAUAUGGAUGUUAAGGAUACAUAAAUGCAUUAUAAGUUCGCGGACGAAAACUGACGGGUCCAGACAGUCGAAAACGAAGAUGCAAGUUGUAUGGCGAUACACCGGCGCGAGAGUUUACAGCGUUAAAAAUCAAUCGCGGUCCACCGGCGGCGCGGCAUAAUGGAAACGCGUAUAAUUCGGCGCGCGAAUGACAUUAAUUUCCAGACGACCCGACACCCCCUCCCCUUUCCCCACCUGCACAUCUCGCGCUCGAAAUAAUCGCGCAAAUAGACACGUAACCGACCUGGGCAUCCAUAUUUCGCGAAGAGCAAGACGCGCCGCACGCUACGCCACUGGUCAUUGCACCGCGGGCGUCGCCAUUUUGUCAGAGCGCUCGCGCGCUGAGACUACGGCAACAAUGAGCGCGCGGGUGUGCGUGCGUGGGUCGCGCGGAGUCGCGUUGCCCGCGGGGCAGCGGCGCGAGGAUAAGGGGGACGAGGAGGGGAGCGAGGGGCAGCCACGUGACCCGCGGGACCGCGCUUCCGGAUUGGCCCGCCGGGGCGCUCCGGGUGACGUAAUAACGCGACGACGCGCCGACUGCCUAGGCUAGCGAUCGACGACAGACGUGAACGUGAACGGUGUCCACCCACUGUACCCGGGGGUUUGCGCACGUGUGUGCGUGCGCCCGCGCGCGGGAAAGAGAGCCAGUCGACGAACGGGUCGGGUUGCGCGCGACCGAGUGAAUUUGCCGAAUUUCGGCGGAUCCGCGCGUCGCGUGGCACUCCGCGCGCGGAUUUAUUCAGUAUCGCGGAUCGAACGGCGGGUUUCCCUCGGCCCAUCCAGGCGAGUGAUCGACGUUUCGAAAGCAGGUAUGAUAUGAUUCCCCAUUCGUUUCCCUGCGGGUUACACGGCUUUCGCUUUACUCGCCGCGACGACGGGCUUUCGGUUCGUAUAUUGUCAGAGAGGUUAUUUUUCCGAGAGUGUUCUCUUCACUCUCGCGCCGCAGUCAGCUCGCUUAGCAAUAAGUUUAUAAUUUUGUUGAGGAUUGUUUUACGGCUAAUUAUAGGUGACAUGACGUAUUUCAUUGAUUUCUAUAGAAAAAGAAGGUAUUCGUGUCAACGGAUAACGAAACGCAUAAUCGUCAAUGGUACAUGUGUGUUUUUUAAUUUUUUAUUUUUACUAUUUAUGGCGUGUGAAUUAAUAAGUGUUUUUUUUUCUGUUAUGUAAUAUGACAUAACUAUAUACGUAUUUACUGGAGCAUUUAUUAAUAUAAUAAUGUAUACACAGAAUUUAAUGAAAAACUAUGUAUGUAAUUAUUUUCUUGUUAUAUUAUAUUAUUAAUGAUUGCAAAUUAUAAUUUAUUACACGUGUGUUUUUUAAUUUUUUAUUUUUACUAUUUACAGCGCGCGAAUUAAUAAGUGUUUCUUUCUGUUAUGUAAUAUGACAUAACUAUACAUAUUUACUGGAGCAUUUAUUAAUAAUAAUAAUGUAUACACAGAAUUUAAUGAAAAACUAUGUAAUUAUUUUCUUGUUAUAUUAUGUCAUUAAUGAUUGCAAAUUAUAAUUUAUUUUUUGCGAUUAAUGCUUUCUCAAUACACUGCCAAGAAAAGUGUGAAACUAUGUUGAAUAUAUUAGGCAUAAUUGUGGGUUAUUACCUAUAAAUUAUCGCUUUCUUAAAUAUAAAAUAUUCACACGCCGAUUCGACACCGUCUAUCAUUAUCGAUUAUCUACUUUCUAUUAACACAUUAUUUUAUAUGCGUAUUCCAGAAUAUUCAUUCUCGUGGCUUUCCAAAAGUUGCAAUUUAAGUGAAAAGUGAGCAACAUUAUACACAAUAUUGAAUCAAAAUUUAAUAUUAUCAGUUGACUUUUACAUUUGUAAUAUUUUGAAAUCGGAACUAACAACAGAAGCAUCGCGUGGUUAUGGAACACCACGGUUUAUUUACCUUUUACUCUAUUAAAGCACAUUUUGUUGCAAAACAGCGAAACCGUGCAAUCGCUCUCUUGAUGUUACACCUACGUCUCUGGAACUUUUGUUUGGGUAGAACAUCCAUUAUUCACUGGAUGUUUAUCAUUUGAUACUCGCAAAUAAAUGCAAUUUUAAUUGCAACUAUGAAAUUUCAUAUUAAAAAAAAAAGUAUUCCGCUUCAGUGCCAUUUUUUAAGUCGCUGCGUCACAUUACGCACGCUGCUAUCUCUUUCACGGCUGGAAAAAAUUUACUCUCAAAUUGAAACUUAUGUAUUCAAAUUAACGCGAUCCUUGUUUCAUAUAUAAGCAACAAUAUAUAAUCUUCUUAGAAGAAUUUGAAAAUCUUGAAUUUCAAGAUAUUAUGUCUUAUUUCAAUACUAUAAGUAUUAUUUUAAAAAUAUGAUAUAAUUGUUUUGAUAAUUUUAUUCUAAGAAAAUUAUAUAAUUUUCGAUUUGAACAUGUAGUACUUUCUAUCCAACAUUCUUUUCUUUCCAUUCAAGAAAAUUAUUCUCAAAUAACAAGGUUCAAUCAUAUAAAAUUUUGAAAUGAAUCUUCAUUCAAGUAAAUCUUUUUGAUUUAACGCGAUGUAAUCUCAUUUCAAGAUUUCCGUUUUGAAAACUGGAGAUGUUGUCAAAGCAAGAACAUUCUUUUUUUUCGCGAUGGGCAUACAGAUAGAUAGGUGUUUAGAGGUGCGUUUAUCGGCGAUGAACCGGAGGCGUCCCGUGCAGCCUCCGGAUCUCCCGCGAUCCAUCUCGAUCUCUCGCCGCGGGUGUUGCACGACACGUGUGUUUUGCACGGGACGAUUCUCGAUUUGCAGGCCGACCGGCACGGAAAAUCGAUGAUCGAGAGAGGGAACGUCGCCGGGAUUUGCAAAACAAAAAGGAAAAAAGGGAAAAAAAAGCGCAAGGGUAAGCCUCCACUCGUAGUGGGGGUAACGAACCGGCACAGGAGAGAGAGAUCGAGCACGAGUCCUCCAGCAUUCCGUCACGGGCGCUCGUGACCGGCGGAUGUGUUUGCGUCGCCGUUAUAGGCGUACGCCUCUCGCUGGGAGAAACGUGCGGCGGCGGCGUUUCCCCCCCGUUUCUUUUUUUUCGCGGGGACGUGUCCGGCGGCCAGUGAUGUGGAAAAUUCGAGGGACGGCCGUUUCGGACGAUCUACGAGGUAUCCGCCGAUCCGCGGACCCCGCAAAUCGCCGAUUUGUAUUCCGACGUCGACCGGAUUUCCAAAAAACCUUAGAAACGGCAAAAGCUGCGCCGCGGCAUUGGGAAGGCGGGCGAGAAUCACGAUAGCGAGGAAUCAGGUAAGUGGAAAUCUGUGGGGAAAAGUUUGGUAGGGCGGAAAGGGAUUUACUUUUCGCGUGAAGCAUCGAUUUAAAAUUGGACGUGAAACGUAGUUACCGAUAUUGCCUCUCGACCGGCUGAGAGAUUGCGGUGAGCGAAGGCGAGCGAGAGAGACGGCGAGGAGGAAAGAUAUCGCUGCCGGAGUUGCUCAUCCCGACGUCCGAUACGUGCGAUGUAAUAAAAUUAUGAUCGGCCAGCCCCUUCCAUCCAUUCGUCUCAAUCAUUUCCUCGCAAAGAUUGACGAGCGCGCGCGGUAUUCCCGCCACUUCCGAUUCUCGCCUCUCCAUUCGUACGUUCGUUCCCGCUGUCCUUUUUUUUUUUUCUUUCGCCGCUGCACUGGAAACGUUUUACUGCCGCGUGAUUGAUUUUAAAGUCCCAUUAUAAUCGACCCGGUACUUACGCGAGUAUUCUGAAAUUAAUUCUGGCUCCCUUUUGCGAAUCUCCUCACCUCGCAAUAAAGAUACCGCGGCAGUGGGGGGCAAUAAAACGCGUAUCGACGUAAUCACGAUUGUUAAUCAAGAUGCUUUAAUUACAGGACUAUGCAAGAGAGCGAGAGAGAGAGAGAGAGAGAGAGAAUUCCUUGUUGCAGUCGUCCGAAACCUGCGUCACAAAUAUCCUGCGAUCGAGCUCUUUAUGCUUUUGAUUGUUGCUCAGAAAGCCUUGUUGACGAUAUUGGCUUUCGGGCAAUAAUCAUAAUCACGGAAGAGCUGAUUAUCAUCGUUAUCUACUAUUGUCUAUUAUUAUAUCGUUAUCUGUACUGUUAUAUUAUGAUAUUAUAACGAGAAAUUAUAUUUUUAUCUUAGAAAGAAAAUGUUAUGUAUUUACAUCUAACUUUUGUUUAUAUCUGUAUUACGGAAUUAAGAAUCCUAUUUAACAUGUUUAUUAUGUCUCGACGAAUACAAGCGCUAGCGAAUCAAUGUUUGAAAAGAAUAAAAUGUGAUAUGUAAGUA
Molecule: long non-coding RNA, 5081 nt
Filed under: Monomorium pharaonis (pharaoh ant)
Lineage: Eukaryota; Metazoa; Arthropoda; Insecta; Hymenoptera; Formicidae
Description: uncharacterized LOC118647680, transcript variant X2
Rfam family: mir-315 microRNA precursor family (bases 4759-4838)
Source: RNAcentral